GUCUAUGGCCAUAUCACCCUGAAUGUGCCUGGUCUCAUCUGAUCUAGGAAGCUAAGCAGGGUCGGGCCUGGUUAGUAUUUUGAUGGGAGAACCUUGUGUAAAUAUUUACAUUUUCCAAGAGC
RNAcentral lists this ribosomal RNA (122 nucleotides) under Prolemur simus (greater bamboo lemur). The record is from RNAcentral. Lineage: Eukaryota; Metazoa; Chordata; Mammalia; Primates; Lemuridae.